CAAGCGCCAUUGGAGACAAGUGCAGUGUUUGGCUAAUGUCUUUUGGGACAAAUGGAGAAAACAGUACCUCUCCACUCUGCAGCCGCGCAGUAAAUGGCAAUCUGGAAGGCCAAAUCUAAAAUCUGGAGAUGUGGUUCUAGUGCGGAAUUAUCAAUCUAAAAGGAAUGAUUGGCCUCUUGGACUGGUGACUAAAGUGUUUCCUAGUGAGGAUGGUAGAGUUCGUAAAGUGGAGGUUAAGGUUUGUAGAGAUAAUGAGACCAGACUUUACAAUAGGCCUAUAUCUGAACUUGUUCUUCUUAUUUCAUCAUAGUUGUUGAGGAUGAUAUCUUCGAUAUCAGGUGGGGAGUGUCAUGUUUGUUGGAAAGGGUAAAGUGCUUAAUUAUCGACCAUUUCCAUUUGUGGGCUGUUGUUGUGUUCAGAUAUGCAUGCUUUGCAAUGUUUGUCCUUCCUGAGCCGCCUUAGACUGGGGCGUUCCCGACAUAGGUAAUGUUUCUGCCACAAACACAUACAGCGAAGUUCAUCCUGCCUGUUUAAUUCUAUGGUAGCAUAGCUGUUUUACACCUGCUCUUUAUUAAUAAACUGGAGAUCUGUACACCUCGUGUCAAGUCUGUCUCUGGGUCGUUAUAUUGAUGAAGGGAGGAGUUUAGCUGCCUGAAUAUCUAUUACCACGUAAUAGCGAGAUCAAAACAUUGACAGCAGAAAAAAUGACAGAAAACAACAGAAUAAAAAGCCUUACCACAAGAAACGGCUCUGAUCUUCCCCGAAGAAUAACACCAUAUUGCUCUACUAAGUUCAUCGCACCUUCAGCUUCCUCCUGACGUCAUCUCCGACCAUUCUCCAACCCCCAUCAUUUCCGUCAGCGUAUUUCCUGUUUUCAUUAAGCCUCCUCCAUAAAAACUCCAAGAACCCAUACUAUGUUGUCAGAAGUGUAUUUAUUGUGCAACUUUGACUGAGGCAACCUUGAACUGGAACUUCUGGCCAGUAUAUGGGGGAGACUCUACAACUGUUUACCUAUCUUGUGUCUCUUGAUUUAUUACUAUAUAUAUAUAUAUAUAUAUAUAUAUAUAUAUAUAUAGUACUCCACCUCCCCUCACCCCACUGUCACUCCACAGAUCGCCGUGUUUUGGCCAAAAGAGUGGAUCCGAGCACUCACCAUCUAUGAGGUAGGUGUACAGGACAGAAAAGUAAGUUUCCCAGGGCAAUCAGACCCUGGGCCUGACACCUACUUCACGGAUCCUGCCUUCCAGAUUGUGCUUUUUUCAGCUGCAGCCUCUUCUUCUGCUACACUGAUCCAGGUGUUGCUUGUGACGGUGGGCGACUGGGUGCCCACUGCUUUCAGCCCUCACCUGGGCUUCUUCUUCCUCAUCAAUAGUAGCUGUGCUUCCAUGGGCCUUCGCGACCUCUUGACGAACACUGUGCUGCUGCUAGGGUGCAUCUCGCCACUGUGGUGUGUGUGUGCGUGCCUCUCACUUUGCUGCGUGUCUCGCACUGUCAUGUUGGGUUGGGCCACAAUAAUUAUUUAAGGGUCUCCUGCCAGCAGACGGCCAGGAGUCCCAUCUGGGAUGCCAAUUGUGAUGCCACCCGCCCUAACCCUCACACAGACAGGCAGAACACAAGUUAAGCACACAACACGCUCUUUUAUUUUCUACUGGAAAGUGCUUUCCCUUGCUCCCCAGACCCACACAGUACAACAAAGCACUAAAGCACCAACAUAGUCCCUUCGUCGCCACCUUCAGUCCUCCACACAGGCUUUGUCCUCUUCCUCCCAACUCUGGUUGUUGGAUGCUGAAGACUGGCCACUUUUUAUAGGGCGCCUGGAGUCCCUAGCAAGCUUCCUCCAGCAGCACUUAUGGGUGUGGUGGAAAUGCUGCCAAAUAGGGCCCUGCAAAUGUCCAUGCGCCCCCUGGAGGUGGCCACAGGCCAAAACAGGGUUGAGCCUCUAAGCUCAUAACUCGUGGUCCCACUGGAAACCAAGGGGACUGCCCUCUAUCAGUUCCGGGGAGACCCAGUCCUUGCAUAAUCCGGGUGUCCGACCAUU
Long non-coding RNA from Erpetoichthys calabaricus (reedfish), 2038 nucleotides. RefSeq lists it as uncharacterized. The record is from RefSeq and is a predicted model, not a curated record. NCBI's taxonomy places the organism in Eukaryota, Metazoa, Chordata, Cladistia, Polypteriformes, Polypteridae. The transcript is spliced from 3 exons.